CCUUCUCAUCUGAUUAUUUUCUCCAUACCAGCAUAAAUCAACAAUGGCAAAGCUCGCAGUUUACUUAGCCACCCUGGCUCUCAUUUUGUUCCUUGCCAAUGCUUCAAUCACAUCUGUGACGGUCGAAAGCGAGGAAAACCGGGAUAGCUGUGAACAGCAGAUAAGGAAGCAAGCCCACCUGAAGCACUGCCAGAAGUACAUGGAGGAAGAGUGGGGUGGCGAAGGCAGCGACAAUAUAGCCGGCGGGUACAUUGACUCAUGUUGCCAGCAGCUAGAGAAGAUGGAUACGCAAUGCAGAUGUCAAGGUCUAAGACAUGCAACGAUGCAACAGAUGCAACAGAUGCAAGAACAAAUGGGGAGCAAACAGAUGCGAGAGAUCAUGCAAAAGGUUACCAAGAAUAUAAUGUCCGAAUGUGAGAUGGAGCCUGGGAGGUGUGACACGCCAUCUCGCAGUUUGAUUUAAACAAAAUAUGUUCUCAAGAAUAAAUGUAAUGUCUCCCUUAGUUACUCUGGUGUUUUAGCUGUACUCGCUCUCUUCAUCACAAUAAAAAGCACAUAAUCGUGUGCAGU
RNAcentral lists this unclassified non-coding RNA (570 nucleotides) under Gossypium hirsutum (cotton). Its description in RNAcentral is "2S albumin storage protein". Lineage: Eukaryota; Viridiplantae; Streptophyta; Magnoliopsida; Malvales; Malvaceae. The record is from RNAcentral.